This is a long non-coding RNA of Hyla sarda, 226 nucleotides long. RefSeq lists it as uncharacterized. The record is from RefSeq and is a predicted model, not a curated record. The transcript is spliced from 5 exons. Lineage: Eukaryota; Metazoa; Chordata; Amphibia; Anura; Hylidae.
GGCGCGGGUAUUUGCUUGUGCUGGAUGUGACCCUGCAGGAAUACUUGACGCAGGCGACCCCGCUGUAAUUGGGAGACUUUUCCUGUCUCCUGUUAAUGUUGAGGAAGCGCUGUCCUACAAUCUGGGGAGGAGUUUAGAUGAAAUUGGAAUUUCUCGACCUUUGGCACUUUUAUCGUGCAAUCUGGCAACUAGAAAGUUGACACCUGAAUGUAAGGCAUUCCUUGAC